This 77-nucleotide transfer RNA is filed under the name Radula japonica. RNAcentral describes it as "tRNA-Tyr". It matches the Rfam family "tRNA". Rfam says of the family: Transfer RNA (tRNA) molecules are approximately 80 nucleotides in length. Their secondary structure includes four short double-helical elements and three loops (D, anti-codon, and T loops). Lineage: Eukaryota; Viridiplantae; Streptophyta; Jungermanniopsida; Radulales; Radulaceae. The record is from RNAcentral.
GGGAGAGUGGCCGAGUGGUUAAAAGCGACAGACUAGAAAUCUGCCGAAGAUUUUCUACGUAGGUUCGAAUCCUGCCA